This 1092-nucleotide long non-coding RNA is filed under the name Podarcis muralis (Common wall lizard). Its description in RNAcentral is "lncRNA (ENSPMRG00000009660.1)". Lineage: Eukaryota; Metazoa; Chordata; Lepidosauria; Squamata; Lacertidae. The record is from RNAcentral.
GGAGAUUUCUGGAGUCAGUGUGCUUAAGGGCAUUCUUAAAAUGACAGUGAGGCUGAGCUCCUUAGGAACAUCAUGCUCAAGGUUUGAUGAGCUCUAAGUUUGAGCUUAUGGCAAUAACAAUAUCUUGGCUCAUGUCCUUAGAAAUUGUAUCUGAGUGGGAACAGCUUCUCCAGACUCUCUGGUAAAAUGUCUUGGAUGGAAAACAACCACAGCAAAUACCAUUCAUAUUUGCUGGAUUGAUUUCCAUUCUGGACAGGGAAUGGAUAAGUGAACACUAGCAAUUGCUGCCCCGUUUCUCUUUUUGUUGGAGUUUUCUGACAUUCCUAUCAAAGAUACACAUCUGCAGGGCUGGAUUUAGGUUUGGUGAGGCCCUAAGCUACUGAAGGUAAUGGGGCCCUUUAUAUGUCCAGCUGUCCUUUCUCAACAACACAUUGCUGCUGUUUUUUGUGUUGAAUAUAUGCUAUAUGGUAAUUUAUGGACCUAAAAGCCCCCCAUCCAAACAAUGACUAUCAUCACUGCAGGCCAGAACAGAACAGAACAGAACUGAAGGGUUCAGCCGACCUGCUUAUAUAUAGCUCCACUACAAAGCAACAGUAGCAACUUUCUGUAACUAUCCAAUCACUGAUCGUCACUUUCAAUUCCGUAUUUGCAUAUGUGGACCUGAGUGAAAACUAUCUACAAUAUCCCCCUGCUGGCCCAGGGUGAGAACUUCAGUACAUAACAAUUGUUAUUUUAUAAAUUUUCAAUUAACAAUUUCAACAUAACAAAUUAUCAAAACAAGUAAUCUUCAUUAUUUCCCCCCUUUCCCCAUCCCCAAAGAACCCCCUCCCUCCCCCAAGAUUUCCCUCAGCUCCUCUCUCUGAUUUCUCAACUCAUGUUGUUCUCUGCAUACUGUAAAAUUGUAUACAUCCUUUUAUUAUCUAUCUCCUAUAUUAACCCUCAAUAAAUUUGUGUAUGUUUAUUCAAAACCUGCCAAGGAGUCCAGUUCUUUUUGUUGUCUUUUUAGAUAAUUUGUAAAAAGUUCCCAUUCUUCUUUGAAGUCACAGUUGUCAUAAUAAUAAUAAUAAUAAUAAUAAUAAUAAUAAUAUUCUG